UGGCUGCAGAAAAGCGGAUAUUGGUGAA
This 28-nucleotide non-coding RNA is filed under the name Homo sapiens (human). The record is from RNAcentral. Lineage: Eukaryota; Metazoa; Chordata; Mammalia; Primates; Hominidae.